CCAAUAGCGUAUAUUAAAGUUGUUGCAGUUAAAAAGCUCGUAGUUGAAUUUCGAGACCGGUUUACUGGUCGUGCUUUUGUGCGUACUGGUAUUAUUGGUUUCUCCUUUCUGACGAAUCAUAAUGCCAUUAAUUUGGUGUUUUGGGGAAUCAGGACUGUUACUUUGAAAAAAUUAGAGUGUUUAAAGCAGGCUCACGUUUGAAUACAUUAGCAUGGAAUAACGAAAUAGGACGUUUGAUUUUAUUUUGUUGGUUUCUAGGAUCGACGUAAUGAUUAAUAGGGAUAGUUGGGGGCAUUAGUAUUCAAUUGUCAGAGGUGAAAUUCUUGGAUUUAUUGAAGACUAACUACUGCGAAAGCAUUUGCCAAGGAUGUUUUCAUUAAUCAAGAACGAAAGUUAGGGGAUCGAAGACGAUCAGAUACCGUCGUAGUCUUAACCAUAAACUAUGCCGACUAGGGAUCGGAUGAUGUUAAUUUUUUAAUGACUCAUUCGGCGCCUUACG
RNAcentral lists this ribosomal RNA (499 nucleotides) under uncultured Glomeromycotina. Its description in RNAcentral is "partial small subunit ribosomal RNA". It matches the Rfam family "Eukaryotic small subunit ribosomal RNA", at positions 591 to 1092 of the family's 1831-position model. The record is from RNAcentral. Lineage: Eukaryota; Fungi; Glomeromycota.